UAUGGUCUGGUUGUCCCUGCAUCUGCUUGGCUUUUGCCCACUGAAGUGAAUAUGAUUCAUCUCCAAUGCUUCCAGAAGUGCUACCUUGCUUCCCACAUCUGUCGCGGUCCCUUCCCAUGGGCCUUAGACCUGAGGAACACUUGUUUUCCCGGGUGCUGUCUCUUCAGGAACUGUCACUGAAUAAUCUAAGGAAAAACAAAGGUGCUUGCUUUCAGGCAAGCCUCCUGGCUGCUCUCCUUGCCUGCUCUGAUUGCUGUCCCUAAGUCGUGCAUAUAUUCUCGAGCCAUCCCUGGGCCCAUCUAGCAUGAUCAAGGUGAUCAAUAUAAGAAUACCCAUCAAGGUGAUAAGUAUAAGAAUCUUCAGGUAAUUCCUGACUGCACAUCGCUGCUGCAGUCUGGGUGAAGGCUUGGCUUUGCUGCCUCCUGGUGGAAAACACAGCCAUCCGUAACAGUCCUGAAGCAUGAGCAAUGACUCCUCUUUAGUUGAUUUAUCUUACAUAUGAAUUCCAAAAGUCUCCAUGGUACUGUGUAUGUGCGAGUGAGUGUGUGUGUGUGUGUGUGCGCGCGCGCGAGAUAAUCAGCGUGUCAGUUACCAAUUUAUUAUCUCUCAGCUCCAAACACACCCUUCGAUUUGUGCUCUGGGACAAACAAUGUAAUCCCUCGAAUCCUUUCUCCAUUAAAGUGAGAACAAUGCUAAACUUUCUCCAUAGGGGGCGCUGGAGGGACACUGCAGUUGGAAGAGGCAGGUAGUGGGGAGUGUGUGGCAGUCCGGUGGUGCCCGCCACAAGGGCCCAGAACGAGAUCCCUCUGCCUCCUUGCAGCCUUGGUGUGAGGAUGACCUUUUCACAGCCUUCUCAUCCUGAAACCAAAGCCCCUCCAUGGCCUCAGCUGCCCAUAUCAGCUGUAUGGAGGUGGGGGAGGGGCAGUCCACACAGAGCUGCGGCCCCCUUUGCAAGCCUGCUUGCUGCCCAUGUACUCUGAAGACACUAUACAUCAAGGCAAGGAUGAACCAGAAACUCUGCAUGCGAAUUCAUGCCCAAGUUACAG
Long non-coding RNA from Homo sapiens (human), 1046 nucleotides. RefSeq lists it as uncharacterized. The record is from RefSeq and is a predicted model, not a curated record. Lineage: Eukaryota; Metazoa; Chordata; Mammalia; Primates; Hominidae. The transcript has 4 exons.